CGGGACACGUGGUAUCCUGUCUGAAUAUGGGGGGACCAUCCUCCAAGGCUAAAUACUCCUGACUGACCGAUAGUGAACCAGUACCGUGAGGGAAAGGCGAAAAGAACCCCGGCGAGGGGAGUGAAAAAGAACCUGAAACCGUGUACGUACAAGCAGUGGGAGCACGCUUAGGCGUGUGACUGCGUACCUUUUGUAUAAUGGGUCAGCGACUUAUAUUCUGUAGCAAGGUUAACCGAAUAGGGGAGCCGAAGGGAAACCGAGUCUUAACUGGGCGUUAAGUUGCAGGGUAUAGACCCGAAACCCGGUGAUCUAGCCAUGGGCAGGUUGAAGGUUGGGUAACACUAACUGGAGGACCGAACCGACUAAUGUUGAAAAAUUAGCGGAUGACUUGUGGCUGGGGGUGAAAGGCCAAUCAAACCGGGAGAUAGCUGGUUCUCCCCGAAAGCUAUUUAGGUAGCGCCUCGUGAAUUCAUCUCCGGGGGUAGAGCACUGUUUCGGCAAGGGGGUCAUCCCGACUUACCAACCCGAUGCAAACUGCGAAUACCGGAGAAUGUUAUCACGGGAGACACACGGCGGGUGCUAACGUCCGUCGUGAAGAGGGAAACAACCCAGACCGCCAGCUAAGGUCCCAAAGUCAUGGUUAAGUGGGAAACGAUGUGGGAAGGCCCAGACAGCCAGGAUGUUGGCUUAGAAGCAGCCAUCAUUUAAAGAAAGCGUAAUAGCUCACUGGUCGAGUCGGCCUGCGCGGAAGAUGUAACGGGGCUAAACCAUGCACCGAAGCUGCGGCAGCGACGCUUAUGCGUUGUUGGGUAGGGGAGCGUUCUGUAAGCCUGUGAAGGUGUACUGUGAGGUAUGCUGGAGGUAUCAGAAGUGCGAAUGCUGACAUAAGUAACGAUAAAGCGGGUGAAAAGCCCGCUCGCCGGAAGACCAAGGGUUCCUGUCCAACGUUAAUCGGGGCAGGGUGAGUCGACCCCUAAGGCGAGGCCGAAAGGCGUAGUCGAUGGGAAACAGGUUAAUAUUCCUGUACUUGGUGUUACUGCGAAGGGGGGACGGAGAAGGCUAUGUUGGCCGGGCGACGGUUGUCCCGGUUUAAGCGUGUAGGCUGGUUUUCCAGGCAAAUCCGGAAAAUCAAGGCUGAGGCGUGAUGACGAGGCACUACGGUGCUGAAGCAACAAAUGCCCUGCUUCCAGGAAAAGCCUCUAAGCAUCAGGUAACAUCAAAUCGUACCCCAAACCGACACAGGUGGUCAGGUAGAGAAUACCAAGGCGCUUGAGAGAACUCGGGUGAAGGAACUAGGCAAAAUGGUGCCGUAACUUCGGGAGAAGGCACGCUGAUAUGUAGGUGAAGUCCCUCGCGGAUGGAGCUGAAAUCAGUCGAAGAUACCAGCUGGCUGCAACUGUUUAUUAAAAACACAGCACUGUGCAAACACGAAAGUGGACGUAUACGGUGUGACGCCUGCCCGGUGCCGGAAGGUUAAUUGAUGGGGUUAGCGCAAGCGAAGCUCUUGAUCGAAGCCCCGGUAAACGGCGGCCGUAACUAUAACGGUCCUAAGGUAGCGAAAUUCCUUGUCGGGUAAGUUCCGACCUGCACGAAUGGCGUAAUGAUGGCCAGGCUGUCUCCACCCGAGACUCAGUGAAAUUGAACUCGCUGUGAAGAUGCAGUGUACCCGCGGCAAGACGGAAAGACCCCGUGAACCUUUACUAUAGCUUGACACUGAACAUUGAGCCUUGAUGUGUAGGAUAGGUGGGAGGCUUUGAAGUGUGGACGCCAGUCUGCAUGGAGCCGACCUUGAAAUACCACCCUUUAAUGUUUGAUGUUCUAACGUGGACCCGUAAUCCGGGUUGCGGACAGUGUCUGGUGGGUAGUUUGACUGGGGCGGUCUCCUCCUAAAGAGUAACGGAGGAGCACGAAGGUUGGCUAAUCCUGGUCGGACAUCAGGAGGUUAGUGCAAUGGCAUAAGCCAGCUUGACUGCGAGCGUGACGGCGCGAGCAGGUGCGAAAGCAGGUCAUAGUGAUCCGGUGGUUCUGAAUGGAAGGGCCAUCGCUCAACGGAUAAAAGGUACUCCGGGGAUAACAGGCUGAUACCGCCCAAGAGUUCAUAUCGACGGCGGUGUUUGGCACCUCGAUGUCGGCUCAUCACAUCCUGGGGCUGAAGUAGGUCCCAAGGGUAUGGCUGUUCGCCAUUUAAAGUGGUACGCGAGCUGGGUUUAGAACGUCGUGAGACAGUUCGGUCCCUAUCUGCCGUGGGCGCUGGAGAAUUGAGGGGGGCUGCUCCUAGUACGAGAGGACCGGAGUGGACGCAUCACUGGUGUUCGGGUUGUCAUGCCAAUGGCACUGCCCGGUAGCUAAAUGCG
RNAcentral lists this ribosomal RNA (2354 nucleotides) under Escherichia coli. Its description in RNAcentral is "partial 23S ribosomal RNA". It matches the Rfam family "Bacterial large subunit ribosomal RNA", at positions 418 to 2757 of the family's 2925-position model. Lineage: Bacteria; Pseudomonadati; Pseudomonadota; Gammaproteobacteria; Enterobacterales; Enterobacteriaceae. The record is from RNAcentral.